GAUGAAGAACGUAGCGAAAUGCGAUAAGUAAUGCGAAUUGCAGAAUUUCCGUGAGUCAUCGAAUCUUUGAACGCACAUUGCGCCCACUGGUAUUCCGGUGGGCAUGCCUGUUCAAGCGUCAUUAUCCUCCCUCAAACCCCGGGUUUGGUGUUGGACCCAAGUUGUGUGAACAACUGGUCUUAAAGACAAUGACGGCGUCCGUGGGACCCUCGGUGCAACGAGCUUUUAGGAGCACGCAUCGAGUUGCAAGGACCUUCCGGGCCGGUCUCCUUUACUAUUUUACAAGGUUGACCUCGGAUCAGGUAGGAAUACCCGCUGAACUUAAGCAUAUCAAUAAGCGGAGGA
RNAcentral lists this unclassified non-coding RNA (345 nucleotides) under soil metagenome. RNAcentral's name for it is "partial contains 5.8S ribosomal RNA, internal transcribed spacer 2, and large subunit ribosomal RNA". The stretch from base 1 to 121 matches the Rfam family "5.8S ribosomal RNA", at positions 35 to 154 of the family's 154-position model. The record is from RNAcentral.